UGCCUUGAAAGUCUUUGAUUGGAGUCAAAAGUUUGUCUGCCAUCUGCUGCUUUUGAAAAGAGUGCCAUAAUUGUCUGCUAUCUGCUGUUUUUGAAAAGAGUGCCACAGUUUUGAGUGAGACUCAUGAUGGAAUGGUGAUGUCGGCCUUGAAUUUCCUGCAUUGAGAAAGGUUUGUUGAAAAUUUUUUAUUUUUCUUUCUUUUUUCUUUUGUCUCUUUUUUCUUUUCUUUUUUGUUGUUUUGACUUUUUCAUCUUUUUCUUUUCUUUUUUCUUUUGCUUCUUUUUUCUUUUCUUUUUUAUUAAUAGGAUGAACAGGUAGUCAGAAAUCAAAGGGAUCUUGUUCACAUGGUCCUCCAUAAUCUGCACAAGAUCCUUCAGAGGUGGUAUCUUCUGUUUCUGAUUCUCUUUUCAUCUUGAUGAAUUGUAAAUAUUCUUUUGUUGUUUCGGGAUCCUCUUCAAAGAGUUGGAACAUCUUGACUUGCUUUUGAGAAAGAGGAACUGAUUCCUUUUCUUUUUUC
This 517-nucleotide long non-coding RNA is filed under the name Salvia miltiorrhiza (redroot sage). Its description in RNAcentral is "long non-coding RNA (SMIL_LNC002038)". Lineage: Eukaryota; Viridiplantae; Streptophyta; Magnoliopsida; Lamiales; Lamiaceae. The record is from RNAcentral.